This 401-nucleotide ribosomal RNA is filed under the name uncultured Sphingobacteriales bacterium. RNAcentral describes it as "bacterial SSU rRNA". It matches the Rfam family "Bacterial small subunit ribosomal RNA", at positions 980 to 1382 of the family's 1533-position model. Lineage: Bacteria; Pseudomonadati; Bacteroidota; Sphingobacteriia; Sphingobacteriales. The record is from RNAcentral.
CUUAAAUGUAGAGUGCAUGAUGUGGAAACAUGUCUCCCUUCGGGGCUCUCUGCAAGGUGCUGCAUGGUUGUCGUCAGCUCGUGCCGUGAGGUGUCGGGUUAAGUCCCAUAACGAGCGCAACCCUUAUCGUUAGUUGCCAGCUGGUAAAGCAGGGGACUCUAGCGAAACUGCCACCGUAAGGUGAGAGGAAGGUGGGGAUGACGUCAAAUCAGCACGGCCCUUAUGUCCAGGGCUACACACGUGUUACAAUGGCCGGCACAGAGGGCAGCUACCUGGUGACAGGAUGCUAAUCUCGAAAACCGGUCUCAGUUCGGAUCGAAGUCUGCAACUCGACUUCGUGAAGCUGGAUUCGCUAGUAAUCGCGCAUCAGCCAUGGCGCGGUGAAUACGUUCCCGGGCCUU